GGGACUUUCCCGUGCUGGCACAAAGAAAAACUCCGUGCUAUAAUUUCCGGGUUCCAUACCCCGCAGCCGUCUGCGGGGAAUCCAGUCCCGUGCGGCGGAAACCUCCGAACCCUGUCAGGCCCGGAAGGGAGCAGCAGUAAGGAGAAUUUUCCGGGUGCCACGGGGAAACUGGGUUUCCCGCAGACGGCUGCGCUUAUUCGUCCC
Molecule: signal recognition particle RNA, 204 nt
Filed under: Aminivibrio pyruvatiphilus
Lineage: Bacteria; Thermotogati; Synergistota; Synergistia; Synergistales; Aminobacteriaceae
Description: Bacterial large signal recognition particle RNA
Rfam family: Bacterial small signal recognition particle RNA (bases 79-178)
Source: RNAcentral